This 417-nucleotide unclassified non-coding RNA is filed under the name soil metagenome. Its description in RNAcentral is "partial contains 5.8S ribosomal RNA, internal transcribed spacer 2, and large subunit ribosomal RNA". The stretch from base 1 to 120 matches the Rfam family "5.8S ribosomal RNA", at positions 35 to 154 of the family's 154-position model. The record is from RNAcentral.
GAUGAAGAACGCAGCGAAAUGCGAUACGUAAUGUGAAUUGCAGAAUUCAGUGAAUCAUCGAAUCUUUGAACGCACAUUGCACUCUCUGGUAUUCCGGAGAGUAUGCUUGUUUGAGUAUCAGUAAACACCUCAAAUCUCUUGUUUCUUGUGAAUAAGAGAAUUGGACUUGAGCAAUCCCAACUCUUGCAAAAGAGGCGGGUUGCUUGAAAUGCAGGUGCAGCUGGACAUUCUUCUGAGCUAAAAGCAUAUUUAUUAGUCCCGUAAAACGGAUUAUUACUUUUGCUGCAGCUAACAUAAAGGUUGAAUGGCCAAUAUGGCUGACUGAUGCAGGAUUAACAGAGAAUUUAUUCUUUGUAAACUCGAUCUCAAAUCAAGUAAGACUACCCGCUGAACUUAAGCAUAUCAAUAAGCGGAGGA